UACGUAGGGCGCAAGCGUUGUCCGGAAUUAUUGGGCGUAAAGCGCGUGUAGGCGGCUUUGCAAGUCGGGUGUGAAAGCCCUCAGCUUAACUGAGGAAGUGCGCCCGAAACUGCAGAGCUUGAGUACCGGAGAGGGUGGCGGAAUUCCCCAAGUAGAGGUGAAAUUCGUAGAUAUGGGGAGGAACACCGGUGGCGAAGGCGGCCACCUGGACGGAUACUGACGCUGAGGCGCGAAAGCGUGGGUAGCAAACAGG
This 253-nucleotide ribosomal RNA is filed under the name uncultured bacterium. RNAcentral describes it as "partial 16S ribosomal RNA". It matches the Rfam family "Bacterial small subunit ribosomal RNA", at positions 524 to 776 of the family's 1533-position model. The record is from RNAcentral.